This 285-nucleotide long non-coding RNA is filed under the name Pan troglodytes (chimpanzee). RNAcentral's name for it is "long non-coding RNA NONPTRT011487". The record is from RNAcentral. Lineage: Eukaryota; Metazoa; Chordata; Mammalia; Primates; Hominidae.
UCAUUAGUACCUCAGGAAAAAGCUACUGGACACACUAACUCUAGAUGCGGUACCUACUAAGAACCAAUUGUUCCAGCAAGAGGAGUAGGAUAUCAAAUGAGGAGUGACUUUCAAAACCCAAUUUUAAGCAUAAUCUGUUAUGGUUUCUAAACUCAUGAUUAAAAACUUAAUAACUACCAGUUGGCAAAUGGAUAAAUGCCAGAGGUUGGGAGAAAGAGAAGAGCGUGUUAUCUCCCCAGUAGCCCAGCAAGCUUGUGUGGAUGGUGUGGGGGCCUUCCUAGCUGU